RNA transcript from Diachasma alloeum, 2470 nucleotides. It is a transcript of the gene named protein phosphatase methylesterase 1, with no coding region annotated. The transcript is spliced from 6 exons. NCBI's taxonomy places the organism in Eukaryota, Metazoa, Arthropoda, Insecta, Hymenoptera, Braconidae. The record is from RefSeq and is a predicted model, not a curated record.
UGAAUUUCAGUAUCGUCGUGCUGAAAGCCAGAAACUUUUUUCUCUGUGGAUCCAUCCAGCCGGAUAUGUUCGAAUUACAUAGAAAUAAGAAGAGAAGAAUUACGUCAUCACGGAUGGUACGAGAUGGCACGUUAACAUCGGCAUUGGGUGAUGAGUUUGUUUUCAAUUUUUUUGUCCCCACGUCUUCGAGGUUUUUAUACUCCCCUUCAAAAUGGAAUAUUCUAACGAGUUAUUUUGCGGUGCCAUUGUUACGUGCGGAUAAUUAAUGCGCUGAGUUGAGUUUAUCCAACGAAGGGACGUGAUUUUUUCUCGUUACGUGCCAACGGCGUUUAUGCCGCGAGAUCUAAUCGAGAAUAAUUCGUCCAUUCAAGGAAAUAGCUCGUUUUACCUGUGAGAGUGAUAAUCAGUUGACUGGAGAAUUGAAUCGAAUUUUCCCGCUGGAGUCACGAGGAUGAGAAGUUCGAUGAUGCACCGCGUUACGUCGGCGAGUCGCUGCCCCCUGGAAUCCUCCAAUCCAAACUCAUCCGGAAUCAAUCGACCGAGCCGUCAAAACAUUCAAUCAUUUGUUUAUAGCCGAGGAGUGAUGCCAAGUGGAUAUUUUUGAAAACAAUUACAUUACCGUGAAUUUAUUAUUGUGAACAAAGACAUCUAGGUGACAUAUUGAAUUGUAGAGACAUGUCAGCACUCCAGAAGUCAAUUUUGAAGUCGAAACUUCCGCCGUCUGGACUGAAUUUCGCCACUGGGAGGUCUUGCAAGGCCAGAGCUCUGCAACGAAAGCGGGAUUAUGAUCCGGUUCAGUGGACACCGUAUUUCAGUGAAUCUAAGGACAUUGUUGUCGGGGAUAAUACAUUUCACUAUUAUAUUACCGGGGAUGAAGGGCCGACGCUUGUUCUUUUGCACGGUGGGGGAUACAGUGCCCUCACCUGGGCUGAAUUCACCAAAUCGAUUACAUCGAUGAUUGUCUGUCGAGUCCUAGCGAUCGACUUGAGGGGACACGGUGACACGCAUACAACGAAUGAUGAAGAUUUAUCUGCAGAAACAUUAGCCACAGAUGUUGCUGCAGUGAUUGAAGCAGUAACGGAAAACAACCCCGUGGUCUUAGUGGGCCACAGUAUGGGUGGUGCAGUGGCUGUGAGAGCAGCCCCUCUUCUCAAGAAUUUAACUGGUGUCACUGUAAUCGACGUAGUCGAAGGAACAGCUAUGGAAGCAUUGACAUCAAUGCAGAGUUUCCUGAGGUCGAGACCUUCGAAUUUCUCGUCAAUGCCACAGGCCAUCGAGUGGUGUGUCCGCAGUGGUCAGAUACGAAACGUUCUGUCAGCUAAAAUCUCCGUCCCCGGACAGAUAAAGAAUACUCAAACAAACAAACUGGCGACUCAUGAUAUAGAAGAGUUCCUGUUGUCGAAUCAUCACACGGACGAUCAUGCUGCUAUUGCGAUAGAGAGGGAGGACGUCAUCCCUGAGGAUGCCAGUGAAGAGGAUGGUAAAGACGAAGUGAAGCACGAGGCACCAGUGUCGAAGCCACCGGAGAGCCCCAGUAGUAAGAAGUAUGGCUGGAGGAUAAACUUAGCUAAGACUGAGAAAUACUGGACAGGGUGGUUCAAGGGGCUGUCCUCGGCGUUUUUAGAUGUUCCUGCUCCAAAAUUAUUACUCCUCGCUGGGAUUGACAGAUUAGAUCGAGAUCUUACUGUGGGACAAAUGCAGGGUAAAUUCCAAAUGCAAGUACUGCCUGCCUGUGGCCAUGCUGUCCACGAAGAUGUCCCAGAUAAAGUGGCCGAAGCAAUUGCGACAUUUAUGGUCAGGAAUAAAUUUGCUGAGCCAGCCUCUGAUUUCCACCGCACAUUUCCGGCAUGUUAACUGAUGAUUGUCUCCACAGGUAUUCGAAAAAUAGGGAUUUACGAAGAAAUCAUAAACUAGCCAAUGGGGUCUUUCAGCGUGACACAUGGCCCAGCUCUUCCUGCCCUGAGAGGCGCGACCUACAAAAAUAGAACAUGAAAAAACUCUACUCAAGUAACAAUUCUAAAGCUCAAUAAAACAGGGGCUUUGUCAAUUCAUUUGACAUUCCUGACAUUCAAAAAAGAUAAAUGUGUACUCACUUGGUGCCACUCAUUCAGAAUGGGAUCGUAUGCUUCAACGAGAGUGAGAUAUUGUUGUCCAUCGUAUCCACCUACUGCUAACAAUUGAUCUCCCAGGAGACAAACACCCACUGCAUCUCUGGCUACACUCAUUGGUGCUACCAUGGUCCACGUGUCAGUUUUUGGAUCAUACCUUCAAAAACAAACAGAACUCAUUGUUGAAAGUUGGUGAAGUGAUAUAAGAGGACCAGUAAAUUGGACUUUAGAACAGAAAAAUUGAUUUCAGUUUUGAAAUGUUUUAAAAAACUACACUGAGUACUUGAUUUUCAUUACAUUUGUCGGUCAAUAUGUUCAAAUUUACAUUAUUAGAAAAAUAAAAAGAGCAUGGAAAUUUUUAA